AAGAACAGUGUGUGAACACGAUGAUCAAAUGGGUCGUUGACUUAUGUAUUUUUGUAAGAUUAGGAUGUCUCAAUCUAUAUAGAUGAAAUAUUUAGAUCUGAUCAUUAUUCUCUGAGCUUCAGCACAAGAACAGAAGUUGAACGUGUGACACAAGUAUCGACUAAAUGCAGACGAUGAACAGAGCAGGAUGCUGUGUUAAUACAAGUAGUAUUAGUAUGGACAGUAUGUAUUAGUUAAGGUCCAGGACAGAAAGCUCAACACUCUGCGCACUGGGCUUUUGUUCUUGUUUAGAACUCCCUCUACAAAUCGCCAAAUCCCUCGUUUUUCUUUUGUACAAUUCUUUUGCUAUAAUGAGAAUUCUCUCACUGAGUGAAUAAAUUCAUGUGCACUGUCCUAAAUCAAUCUCCUUGUUUUCUGUGACUAUCCCAGCCCGCGGCCAUCAACUCCACCAAAAAUAAAUAAAUAGAAAAUGAUGUACAUAUAAUAGCAAGCACGAGGCUCCCUGUGGUAUUGAUCAGAACUCAUAAAAGGUAAACUUACCUAUCUUUACAUUGCCAGAAGGAUUCCAUCUUAUUCUGAAGAAAAAAGUAUAACCAUUAUUUUCAGUCCCUUAAACUUAUUAACUACCUCAUGCAUGAAUGCAUGAAAGCUUUUAAGGUCCUGCAGAUGCUUUUUCAGAUUCAAUCCAAUCCGUAAAAAUCGAUUUUGCUUAUUUUUGACAUCAUUCAAAUUUCCCCUCAGACAAACAUCUGUGCUGCUGAAUUUACUUUGUAGGUAAUGAGUCGGGGAAUCACCUCAAUUCAUCCACUGACUUGAUCACCAAAUCCGCAUCUUUCUUGGACUUCAUAAUUAGCUCAGCGUUGGGCCUGUCAUUGUAAUCUAUCUGCGGAAAAAUUUCAGCAACGAACAGACAAAAAAUUAUAUAAUACCUGAAGGACAAUAGGAAUUGACCCAGAUGAUACUUAAAAGGGAUUAACAUUGAACCUUUCAUUUUACUUUUAUUUUUUCCAAAUAAGGAUCCCAUGUCAAGAAGAUAAAAGUUGCAGAAAUGAAGAUGUUGAGAUGGAUGUGUGGGCAUACCAAGAAGGAUAAUAUUAGGAACAAAGUUAUUAGGGGACAAGGUGGGAGUAGCCCCGUGGAGGACAAGUUGCGUGAUUCAAGGUUGAGAUGGUUCGGGCAUGUGAAGUGGAGAAACAUAGAUGCUCCGGUUAGGAUGUGUGAGAGGUUGACCAUGGCGGGUCUGAGGAAGGGUAGAGGUAGGCUAACAAGUACUGGGGAGAGGUGAUUAGGCAGGACAUGUCAUUGCUUCAGCCUACCGAGUGUUGGAAACACGUUCUCAAUGCGAUAUACUAAACGUGUAUUCUUUUGUAGGUUUUGAUG
Molecule: long non-coding RNA, 1380 nt
Filed under: Nicotiana benthamiana
Lineage: Eukaryota; Viridiplantae; Streptophyta; Magnoliopsida; Solanales; Solanaceae
Description: long non-coding RNA (NBEN_LNC038566)
Source: RNAcentral